This 1184-nucleotide long non-coding RNA is filed under the name Arabidopsis thaliana (thale cress). RNAcentral's name for it is "potential natural antisense gene, locus overlaps with AT2G44800 (AT2G44798)". The record is from RNAcentral. Lineage: Eukaryota; Viridiplantae; Streptophyta; Magnoliopsida; Brassicales; Brassicaceae.
CUUUGUUCACUGUUACACGAUGAAUGACGCUCUUGUAUAUGCCGUUGCUCAUCACCUCUACCUGAUCUCCCAGCUGAACUAUCAAAGCUCCUUCUAUAUACGGCACACAAACCCAGUUUUUGUUGCAGUCCAUUAUCUGGAGUCCCUUGCUACUCUGAAGUAAGAUGGUCAGUGAGCUGAAGUCUGAGUGUGGUGGCAUUCCCAAGGCCAUUUCAGGUUCCGGGCAUGCUGGAUAACAAUUCACUGCCAUGACUUGUGAGCCUUCUUCUAUCUCUUCUUCAUGGAGGAUUUGAUGGCCACAUAUCGAUCCACUUUGAGAGUGGAUGAGAGUAAUGCUUGAUGAAAUCUCUCCAGUAGUGAACUCUGUCUGUUGAAUGGUUAAGGCUUGUGCCAUACCUGACUGGCUCAUGAACGUUUGCAGACACCAGAAGCAUCUUCUCUUCCACAGGCCAUGCUAAUCUCGUGGAUUGCGAGGGAUCGAAGGAAAGGUUGGUGCAAAAGAGAGAGAUCAAUGACAGGAAGUGUAGUCUCGCUGGUGCCUAAGCUUGAACCAAGAGCUGGCCUUUGCGAAGGAGGAAGAACGUAGCGAUCAGGGACUUGAGGCACACCUGAAUUGGGGCAAAACUGUCUUUUCAUCAGAUCAGACUGGUAACGUACUGGAUUUACCGCCAUUUCAUAAAAGGUUUAAAGAUAUUUUGGUUUCCACUUUUAAGGCAAAAAAAGAAAAUACUAACAUAUUUCUGUGUGUUGACGUCAUUUAUGAAGGAUGAAUAUCGGUCGAGAUUCAUGGACCAGCACUGAAUAAGGAUGCUGUAUCAUUUAGUUUAUAUAUGUCAUAUGAAUAAAUAAGUAAUUUUUAAUCCUUGUUGAGAAUUGGAAAAAUAACAUGCAUGUUAAAAUGCAUCUGUACUACAACAAGGUCUAUGAGUUGGUUUUUCCUCUUGUCGAAGGUUACAGAGUUCCUCUACCGUUGGAGGAGAGAGUAACUAGUGUGACAUCAUUCUUUCGUAAGAGAUUGUGGAGACUAGAGACCGAGAGUAGUACAGAGAAUUUUUUUUAAUUGUUCCAUAUUUGAAUUAGAACUCUAUCAAGUGUUUCUUUUUGUGUCUAAUCUCAAUAUUAAGCAGUGUCACUUCCAUGUCGGCUGCUGGAUAAAUCCAGCUUUUUCCGUUUGGGUCGAAAAC